CGCUAAGAAGCUGAAUAGGGUUGCAGCAUUAGCCUUUUAAGCUAAAAACUGGUGACUCCCGACCACCCUUAACGAC
RNAcentral lists this transfer RNA (76 nucleotides) under Trachyrhamphus serratus. RNAcentral describes it as "tRNA-Lys". It matches the Rfam family "tRNA". From Rfam's summary of the family: Transfer RNA (tRNA) molecules are approximately 80 nucleotides in length. Lineage: Eukaryota; Metazoa; Chordata; Actinopteri; Syngnathiformes; Syngnathidae. The record is from RNAcentral.